This is a long non-coding RNA of Gorilla gorilla gorilla (western lowland gorilla), 1167 nucleotides long. RefSeq lists it as uncharacterized. Lineage: Eukaryota; Metazoa; Chordata; Mammalia; Primates; Hominidae. The transcript has 2 exons. The record is from RefSeq and is a predicted model, not a curated record.
CACGUAGGGGGCGCUGCUUUGCCUCCUGCACUCCCUGGGCUCUCCAAAGUGAUUUUAAGAAGCAGGCACUUGAGAGCCCAGAAGCUUCUCUUCAUCCACCGCUUGGCUUAAUUGAGGUGGUGGUGGGAGGCCACAAAGGCUGCCCAGCCCCUCGGAACCACUGUCAUGUCUUUGGUUCAACCUUCCUUCAUCCACGUUGCUCUAGCCAAGAGUCUUUGGUAGCAACAAACAGAGACCCACGCAAGCUUUCUUCCACUAAAACCAGGCAGGCCAGGCAGCAAACUUCAGAUUCCAGAAGGCUUCAGGAAUGGAAACUUCUCUCUUCUUUGGAGGCCUGUGUCGCUCCACAGCCCUGCCUCUGUCUAUUGCUGUCUUACUCUCCAUUGUCUCUCAAGCUGUCUCAGGAUCCUUAGGGUGUUACUUUUGCAGUUGGAAACCUCUGUGGCUGGUGGUGCCUUUGCCCGAGUUUUUGCUCAGGCCCACUUGGCUCAUUCUGCCCACUUGGCCUGGCAGGCUGCACUCAGCUCGUGCUACUGGCCCGGAUCUCACACCUGACAAGGGUAAGCCAGUAGCAAAGUGGAGUGAGUGUGGGGUCCAGCCACUGUGCACAGCCAGGUGAACUGGCUGCUGCUAUGGGACAGGCAGCUCCAGGCACUGGCACAGGCACCAACUCCAUGCAAGGCUGCAGCUGGAUAAGAUGUACUGCAGGCAGCUUCCUCUGUGGUUACCUAUGUCUGGACAAGGGGAGCAUGGUGGUGCCUGGAAGCUUGGCAAUGCCAGGAACCACAGAGCUCCAAAGAAGGUGUCACAGCCCUGGCUCAGGGAGCCCCUAUGUCUGGGCUUCCUGAAAGGCCACAGCUCUUCUCUCCUUCUUCUUGCCCACAACACGGUAACAGCACACAUCCCCAGCACCAGAGAGAGCAGAACAGACCUCAUUCUCAAAGAACUGUCAUUAUUUGACCUGUCUUCCCUGGAAGACCAGCUCAAAACACUUUAUUUUUUUUCGACCCAGAACUUUCCCAGUGUUGAAGACUUACCCAGGGAGUGUUUGUGGAAAACACUUAUAGCCAAAGGCUUUAGUUGUUGCUGCCUGAGGCAAUAGAUAACAGUUGAGAAAAACAAUAAUUGAUAUCUUCCUUUAAUUGGAAAUGGUGUUCAAAACCAGUA